GACGAACGCUGGCGGCGUGCUUAACACAUGCAAGUCGAACGGUAAGGCCCUUCGGGGUACACGAGUGGCGAACGGGUGAGUAACACGUGGGUGAUCUGCCCUGCACUUCGGGAUAAGCCUGGGAAACUGGGUCUAAUACCGGAUAGGACCACUGCCUGCAUGGGUGGUGGUGGAAAGCUUUUGCGGUGUGGGAUGGGCACGCGGCCUAUCAGCUUGUUGGUGGGGUGAUGGCCUACCAAGGCGACGACGGGUAGCCGGCCUGAGAGGGUGACCGGCCACACUGGGACUGAGAUACGGCCCAGACUCCUACGGGAGGCAGCAGUGGGGAAUAUUGCACAAUGGGCGCAAGCCUGAUGCAGCGACGCCGCGUGAGGGAUGACGGCCUUCGGGUUGUAAACCUCUUUCGGCACCGACGAAGCGCAAGUGACGGUAGGUGCAGAAGAAGGACCGGCCAACUACGUGCCAGCAGCCGCAGUAA
RNAcentral lists this ribosomal RNA (478 nucleotides) under uncultured bacterium. Its description in RNAcentral is "partial 16S ribosomal RNA". It matches the Rfam family "Bacterial small subunit ribosomal RNA", at positions 28 to 523 of the family's 1533-position model. The record is from RNAcentral.